RNAcentral lists this ribosomal RNA (467 nucleotides) under uncultured bacterium. Its description in RNAcentral is "partial 16S ribosomal RNA". It matches the Rfam family "Bacterial small subunit ribosomal RNA", at positions 28 to 507 of the family's 1533-position model. The record is from RNAcentral.
GACGAACGCUGGCGGCGUGCUUAACACAUGCAAGUCGAACGAUGACGACUGAGCUUGCUCGGUCUGAUUAGUGGCGAACGGGUGAGUAACACGUGAGCAACCUGCCCUUCACUCUGGGAUAACCUCGGGAAAUCGGGGCUAAUACCGGAUAUGAGCUCCUGUCGCAUGGCGGGUGUUGGAAAGUUUUUCGGUGAAGGAUGGGCUCGCGGCCUAUCAGUUUGUUGGUGAGGUAGUGGCUCACCAAGGCGAUGACGGGUAGCCGGCCUGAGAGGGCGACCGGCCACACUGGGACUGAGACACGGCCCAGACUCCUACGGGAGGCAGCAGUGGGGAAUAUUGCACAAUGGGCGAAAGCCUGAUGCAGCGACGCCGCGUGAGGGAUGACGGCCUUCGGGUUGUAAACCUCUUUCAGCAGGGAAGAAGCGAAAGUGACGGUACCUGCAGAAGAAGCGCCGGCUAACUACGUG